RNAcentral lists this ribosomal RNA (160 nucleotides) under Hydrangea platyarguta. RNAcentral describes it as "5.8S ribosomal RNA". It matches the Rfam family "5.8S ribosomal RNA". Rfam says of the family: 5.8S ribosomal RNA (5.8S rRNA) is a component of the large subunit of the eukaryotic ribosome. Lineage: Eukaryota; Viridiplantae; Streptophyta; Magnoliopsida; Cornales; Hydrangeaceae. The record is from RNAcentral.
UCACGAAACACGACUCUCGGCAACGGAUAUCUCGGCUCUCGCAUCGAUGAAGAACGUAGCGAAAUGCGAUACUUGGUGUGAAUUGCAGAAUCGAGUCUUUGAACGCAAGUUGCGCUCGAAGCCAUUAGGCCGAAGGCACGUCUGCCUGGGCGUCUCGCAA